GCCACGUUUCCUCUCCUUCAAAUUGCUCCGUAAGUUUAUAAGUACUCUUUUAAUCCGAGGGAAACUUUGGGAAAACGAAGCAUGAAGUACUUCUUGUUCUUCCUAUUGUUGUUUGUGGUUUGGAGUUCUCCAGGCAACUGUGAGUACCAGGAGUUUAAAAAGCUGGGUAAAUGCACGGACCACAGGAGAUGUGAAUCCGAUUGCAAGAAAAUGGGAGGUUGGAACGGAAGUUGUUACGAUAUGCCCAGAGGAUCUGACUACAGUCAGGAAUGUGUGUGUUUUACAUUUUAACGUAAAACGAAAUAAUUUAUGUACCUGUGACAGUAUUAUAAUAAAAUAUGUAUGAAUA
Molecule: long non-coding RNA, 349 nt
Organism: Aethina tumida (small hive beetle)
Lineage: Eukaryota; Metazoa; Arthropoda; Insecta; Coleoptera; Nitidulidae
Exons: 2
Source: RefSeq, a predicted model, not a curated record